Molecule: ribosomal RNA, 485 nt
Filed under: Lactobacillus acidophilus
Lineage: Bacteria; Bacillati; Bacillota; Bacilli; Lactobacillales; Lactobacillaceae
Description: bacterial LSU rRNA
Rfam family: Bacterial large subunit ribosomal RNA
Source: RNAcentral
GUCAAGUAGAAAAGGGCGCAUGGUGAAUGCCUUGGCACUAGAAGCCGAUGAAGGACGUGACGAACCACGAAAGGCUUCGGGGAGCAGUAAGUAAGCAAUGAUCCGGAGAUAUCCGAAUGGGGGAACCCAAUACCGCGAGGUAUUAUCAUUAACUGUUAAGGUUAAUGAAGGAAGACGCAGUGAACUGAAACAUCUAAGUAGCUGCAGGAAGAGAAAGAAAAAUCGAUUUCCCAAGUAGCGGCGAGCGAACAGGAAAGAGCCCAAACCAGCUGGCUUGCCAGUUGGGGUUGUAGGACUGCGAUAUAGUACUUGAAGUGAUAGCAGAAUUAUCUGGGAAGAUAAGCCAGAGAGGGUGAAAGCCCCGUACGCGAAAUUGCAGAGAGACUUAGCAGGAUCCUUGAGUAGGUCGGGACACGAGGAAUUCCGAUUGAAACCGCGAGGACCAUCUCGCAAGGCUUAAUACUAACUAGUGACCGAUAGUGAAC